UCCUACGGGAGGCAGCAGUGGGGAAUAUUGCACAAUGGGGGAAACCCUGAUGCAGCCAUGCCGCGUGUGUGAAGAAGGCCUUCGGGUUGUAAAGCACUUUCAGUAGGGAGGAAGGUAGUGUAGUUAACACCUGCAUUAUUUGACGUUACCUACAGAAGAAGCACCGGCUAACUCCGUGCCAGCAGCCGCGGUAAUACGGAGGGUGCGAGCGUUAAUCGGAAUUACUGGGCGUAAAGCGCAUGCAGGCGGCCUGUUAAGUCAGAUGUGAAAGCCCGGGGCUUAACCUCGGAAUUGCAUUUGAAACUGGCAGGCUAGAGUCUUGUAGAGGGGGUAGAAUUUCAGGUGUAGCGGUGAAAUGCGUAGAGAUCUGAAGGAAUACCAGUGGCGAAGGCGGCCCCCUGGACAAAGACUGACGCUCAGAUGCGAAAGCGUGGGGAGCAAACAGGAUUAGAUACCCUGGUAG
Molecule: ribosomal RNA, 463 nt
Filed under: uncultured bacterium
Lineage: Bacteria
Description: bacterial SSU rRNA
Rfam family: Bacterial small subunit ribosomal RNA
Source: RNAcentral